Molecule: unclassified non-coding RNA, 555 nt
Filed under: Hevea brasiliensis (rubber tree)
Lineage: Eukaryota; Viridiplantae; Streptophyta; Magnoliopsida; Malpighiales; Euphorbiaceae
Source: RNAcentral
UGCAAACUUUUUUUUUUUUUUACUAUAAAAGAAAUAAUUUGUUAUAUUACAGAUGAAUUGGGUUUUAUUGUGGUUAAUAAACAGUAAAUUACAAAUUCAUGUGUUAAAUUGGUCAUUAGUUAAUGUUGGGGCGAACAUGCCUAAUAGGUUCAAGGGGAAAAUUAAACUUUAAUUGCUGAACCAGGAUGAAAUGACAUUCUACAUCUACUCAUCACAACCAAAGGCAAAAUCCUUUAGAAAAAAUAGGUGAUUGAAUUAACAAGUAAAAACUUGCAAUCCAAAACUAGAAUCCUGCCAAAAAUAAUUAUGUUUAAAUGCCUUAACUCUAGUUUCAAUGAUGAUAAAUCCCAUAAUAAACCUAUAUUAUUUACUGAAUGGAACACAAACAGAUAGUCAAGCGAUAAGCCAAAGAAAAUGAUGAAAGGAAACAAACCAACAAUGUAAACAUGACAAAUUUAAUAUAAAACUGCUGUUUGAACAAUUCUUAAAAUUUGAAGGGCACACUUGACCAUUCUAAUUAAAACUUUCAUACCUGCUGCCAGUACUUUACCAUCU